This 1467-nucleotide long non-coding RNA is filed under the name Ananas comosus (pineapple). Its description in RNAcentral is "long non-coding RNA (ACOM_LNC041054)". Lineage: Eukaryota; Viridiplantae; Streptophyta; Magnoliopsida; Poales; Bromeliaceae. The record is from RNAcentral.
ACCUUAUUAAACUAUUCCCUUAAGUUAUCCUCUCUUGCUCUCCCAACUUGGCCAAAUUCAUCGCUCCCAUCGUCCUCCUCCUCCGCCACCUUGGCCGGUGCCGGGAGCAAGAGGGUCGCAGCGAUAAUCCCGUCUCGCCCCAGGUCAAUCAUCAUCUUCUUCUUCAUCAUCUGCUUUUCUUUCUAGAGAGAGAAAGAGAGGAAGAGGGAGACCUCACACUCACCACCUUCUUCCUAAGCAAGCCCAGCUUCUCUCUCUCUCUCUCUCUCUCUCUCUCUCUUCUCCUUCAUUAUCUGCUUCUUCUUGCUAGAGAGAGAAACUAGAGAGAGACAAAUAGUAUAGAGAGAGAGAGACCUCACACUCACCACCUUCUUCUUAAACCCCUUCUCUUUCUCUCUCUUUUUCUCCUUCCGCCCGAGGCCGUCCGCGUGCCGGGAGCAAGGGGGUGCGGUGUUGUAACACACUGGACCUUUGCAAAUUGCGAGGUUCGAGUUUUUGACCUGUGUGUCGAGCUUUUCCAGACUUUCUGGAAGGUCGUAGACAGUGUUCCGACCUAUGGCUCGCAGCCCGAGAAUUGUGGUUUUAAGCUUGGUACCAAAAUCCAAAAAUUGGAUUCAUUGGACAGCUCUCGGGUUAGCCUCAGCAGGGUGCUGUACCAGUACAAGGUUGAUGGUUGUACCGGUACAGGGCUGAUGGUUGUACCGGUACAAGGCUGGUCUUGUACCGGUACAAGGGCAGUUUUCCAGCAGACCCGAAGCUCGGGUUUGGCAGUUUCGUGGGCCUUGUACCGGUACAAGGGCCCGUGUACCGGUACAAGGUGGCUGAUUGUGAGCAGUUUGAACUGCAGGGGGCUUUUUGCGUUUGUGGCUAUCAAUUAGUAACCCAACGCCCCUUAGGGCUUCCCUGAGCGUCACAGCAGCAGGAGAAGAGGUAUGGGAGUUCUCCACACCCUCUCUCUCUAUUUCUUUGAUUUUGGUUGGUUUAAUUUGUGAUUUAAGCUUCUCUUUCUCCCUCUUUUUGCUUCUUGGUCUCUCUAUUUCUUUGAUUUUGGUUGGUUUAAUUUGUGAUUUAAGCUUCUCUUUCUCCCUCUUUUUGCUUCUUGGUGCUCUCCCUCCAUGGAAGGAGCUUGAGGCUUGGUUUUGGAGCUUGUUUGAGCGGAGAUUUUCAGAUCUUGAGGACUUGGACACUUGUUGGAGGCUUCCAAAGAGGUUAGAAGCUUAGUUUUUCCUUUUGAUCCUUAAUUUAUUGGAUUUCAUGAGAUGAAACCCUAGAAUGUGGACUUAGGGUUUGUUUUUGGGGGUUUUGGAUUUGGGGCUUCUUGAUCUAAAUUGAUGGAUUUAGAACUUUGGUUUAGGUUGGAUUUGAAGGGUUUUCACUCUCAUUUGGAGAUUGAGAGAAGAUUUCACCUCACAAGGUGAGUUUUGCCCCUUUUCUUGUAUUGGUUAAUGUUUAACCUAGGAGUUGUUN